CCUACGGGACGCAGCAGUAGGGAAUCUUCCACAAUGGACGAAAGUCUGAUGGAGCAACGCCGCGUGAGUGAAGAAGGGUUUCGUCUCGUAAAGCUCUGUUGGGAGUGAAGAAAGAUAGAGGUAGUAACUGGCCUUUAUUUUACGGUAAUUACUUAGAAAGUCACGGCUAACUACGUGCCAGCAGCCGCGGUAAUACGUAGGUGGCAAGCGAUGUCCGGAUUUACUGGGUGGAAAGGGCGUGCAGCCGGGAAGACAAGUCAGGUGUGAACUCCCGCGGCUCAACCGCGGAACUGCAUUUGCAACUG
This 305-nucleotide ribosomal RNA is filed under the name uncultured bacterium. Its description in RNAcentral is "bacterial SSU rRNA". It matches the Rfam family "Bacterial small subunit ribosomal RNA", at positions 338 to 635 of the family's 1533-position model. The record is from RNAcentral.